GACGAACGCUGGCGGCGUGCUUAACACAUGCAAGUCGAACGGUGACGAGGAGCUUGCUCCUCCGAUCAGUGGCGAACGGGUGAGUAAAGCAUCGGAACGUGCCCUGGAGUGGGGGAUAACGUAGCGAAAGUUACGCUAAUACCGCAUAUUCUGUGAGCAGGAAAGCAGGGGAUCGAAAGACCUUGCGCUCUGGGAGCGGCCGAUGUCGGAUUAGCUAGUUGGUGGGGUAAAGGCCUACCAAGGCGACGAUCCAUAGCUGGUCUGAGAGGAUGAUCAGCCACAUUGGGACUGAGACACGGCCCAAACUCCUACGGGAGGCAGCAGUGGGGAAUAUUGGACAAUGGGCGCAAGCCUGAUCCAGCCAUGCCGCGUGAGUGAUGAAGGCCCUAGGGUUGUAAAGCUCUUUCACCGGUGAAGAUAAUGACGGUAACCGGAGAAGAAGCCCCGGCUAACUUCGUG
This 459-nucleotide ribosomal RNA is filed under the name uncultured bacterium. Its description in RNAcentral is "bacterial SSU rRNA". It matches the Rfam family "Bacterial small subunit ribosomal RNA", at positions 28 to 507 of the family's 1533-position model. The record is from RNAcentral.